This 88-nucleotide transfer RNA is filed under the name Bacteroidales bacterium. RNAcentral describes it as "tRNA-Ser". It matches the Rfam family "tRNA". From Rfam's summary of the family: Transfer RNA (tRNA) molecules are approximately 80 nucleotides in length. Their secondary structure includes four short double-helical elements and three loops (D, anti-codon, and T loops). RNAcentral also lists the same sequence under 2 other names. Lineage: Bacteria; Pseudomonadati; Bacteroidota; Bacteroidia; Bacteroidales. The record is from RNAcentral.
GGAGAGAUGGCAGAGUGGUCGAAUGCGGCGGUCUUGAAAACCGUUGAGGUGAGAGCCUCCGGGGGUUCGAAUCCCUCUCUCUCCGCCA